GUUUCUUUGGAAACACGUGGUUGAAUUGGAAUGAUAACAAGAAAAUUAGCAUAGCCCUUGCAUAAGGAGGAUGCGCAAAUCGACAAAUCAUAGGGCUCACCUUCUU
Molecule: small nuclear RNA, 106 nt
Organism: Syzygium oleosum
Lineage: Eukaryota; Viridiplantae; Streptophyta; Magnoliopsida; Myrtales; Myrtaceae
Source: RefSeq, a predicted model, not a curated record